RNAcentral lists this long non-coding RNA (925 nucleotides) under Numida meleagris (helmeted guineafowl). RNAcentral describes it as "lncRNA (ENSNMEG00000010186.1)". Lineage: Eukaryota; Metazoa; Chordata; Aves; Galliformes; Numididae. The record is from RNAcentral.
ACUGUGUUGUUUGCAGACCUCAAAGAUAGGAGGAAACAAGGAGAUUCCAGGCCUCCCCGAGGUCUGUUUCCUGAAGCAAAACUGAUUAGCCAUUUCUCUACACUAGCUGGCAAACAAUCUCAAUGCUGUGUUUACAUAAAUCACAAUAAGCCUAAUUCUAGCAACAAGCCAUGUGCAAACAGAAAUCAUCACCAGAUGCUCCUGCAGACGAGGACACUGAAGAAACCAUCAGCUAAUUCAGUCACCAGCUCCCAUGAUUCCAGAUUUUAUGUUGGUAAACUUGGGGUAAUGGAGCCCAGGAGAUACAAACACAUUCUCUACUUUGGAGGAGCAUAUGUGAACAUUAGUGAACUACAAGCUGAAAUAGCUGGUGAGUAGGAGGAGAGAUUUGAGUACCAGCAACUGGAGCAAAGCCAUGAACCGCCAGGACUCAAAUAUCCAGGUGACAGCAACUGGGAAGACCUAGGGAUUUGAGAGCCUGCUACUGGAUAUGAUAUCUAAGAGCAGUUUCUGGAAAAAAGAAAAUGAUGAUUUUGUUUAUGUGCCUAUUCCUAUAGCAACUUUAAGCCUUAUCAGCUGGACACAAAGAACAAGAUGAGGCCAUUUGUUCUAUUCAUGUUUCUGGGAGUGCUAUGUGUUUAGAUGGAUGCUGGAAGAGCAUUAUUUUCUGUAUUUAUCUGUGUGACUGGUCAUGCAUACAAAUAUAUUCAUAGAAAUGCCUAUCUGUAUAUAGAUAUAUAAAAUACACUGGGGUGGGAACACCCCUAUGGAAAAUGUGCUCAGCUUCACUACUGGCUGUUCCUGGGGACACAGAACCACAGCAACCCUUCCUGGGUUACUGGAUUACUGGAUGUAACAGCUUCUAACAGACCAUAAACUAACUUAAGAGAUAAUAAAAGUGCUUCUUAGCAGUCUGGAGGAGGCA